RNAcentral lists this ribosomal RNA (481 nucleotides) under uncultured bacterium. RNAcentral's name for it is "partial 16S ribosomal RNA". It matches the Rfam family "Bacterial small subunit ribosomal RNA", at positions 30 to 507 of the family's 1533-position model. The record is from RNAcentral.
UUGAACGCUGGCGGCAUGCCUUACACAUGCAAGUCGAACGGUAACAGGUCUUCGGAUGCUGACGAGUGGCGACCGGGUGAGUAAUACAUCGGAACGUGCCCAGACGUGGGGGAUAACGAGGCGAAAGCUUUGCUAAUACCGCAUACGAUCUAAGGAUGAAAGCAGGGGACCGCAAGGCCUUGCGCGUUUGGAGCGGCCGAUGGCAGAUUAGGUAGUUGGUGGGAUAAAAGCUUACCAAGCCGACGAUCUGUAGCUGGUCUGAGAGGACGACCAGCCACACUGGGACUGAGACACGGCCCAGACUCCUACGGGAGGCAGCAGUGGGGAAUUUUGGACAAUGGGCGAAAGCCUGAUCCAGCAAUGCCGCGUGCAGGAUGAAGGCCUUCGGGUUGUAAACUGCUUUUGUACGGAACGAAAAGGCUCUGGCUAAUACCUGGGGCACAUGACGGUACCGGAAGAAUAAGCACCGGCUAACUACGUG